Molecule: long non-coding RNA, 727 nt
Filed under: Homo sapiens (human)
Lineage: Eukaryota; Metazoa; Chordata; Mammalia; Primates; Hominidae
Source: RNAcentral
GUGGCCUGCAGCUGCUCCUGCACUGGGGCUGAGCCAGCAAACUUCCGGGGCUGGGGCUGCUGGGCAGGGCAAGGUCCGCACAGGGAGCAGACAGACGCAGCCUGCAAUUCGGCGCUUAUCCCCACCGGAGCGGAGGCACACCAAAGCCAAAGGACACGCAGCUGGCCUCAAAGCAGAAGCUGCAUCGGGGCUGGGAAGCCAUUCAGGAGCCCUUUUCUCUCCCCUCGCCCUCACCCUGAGCCCUGGCCGCCACGGCCCACACAGCAGGCCCUCCGGAGAGAGAUGUCAGGACUCCGAGUGGAGACACUUUAUCCGCAUGUUCUUGACCCUCAUACAGCCCUUACGGCCUGGGAAGAGCCAUCUCUGCUGAGGGAUCCCCGAACGCGGGGACUCCGGAUCCGGCUGGCUGGAACGGGAGUCCCGGGCCGGGGCAGAGAGAGGUGAGCGGCGCCUGGGAGGCCAGUCCCACCGGAGGAUAGGGGUGUAGGUGGACGGGAGGCGGUGGAGGGCAGGGACGGGGCGGACAGUGGGGGCUGAGGCGGGAGACGGCCCCGAUCUGCGCGUCCCACCCCCAUCUCCGCCCACCAGGAGCCAGGCCAGCAGGGACCGCGAGGGGGCGGCCAGGUUAUUCACGGGAGUGGGGAGACCCCUUAAAGCGCCCUCAGGGACCGGCCACAGUGGGCGGGGCCACCCCCAGCCACCCACCUCCCCCCCCAGGCCCCGCCCC